UGGGGAAUAUUGCACAAUGGAGGGAACUCUGAUGCAGCGACGCCGCGUGAACGAAGAAGGCUCUCGAGUCGUAAAGUUCUUUUAUAUGGGAAGAUAAUGACGGUACCAUAAGAAGAAGCCCCGGCUAACUACGUGCCAGCAGCCGCGGUAAUACGUAGGGGGCUAGCGUUGUCCGGAAUCACUGGGCGUAAAGGGUUCGCAGGCGGAAAUGCAAGUCAGGUGUAAAAGGCAGUAGCUUAACUACUGUAAGCAUUUGAAACUGCAUAUCUUGAGAAGAGUAGAGGUAAGUGGAAUUUUUAGUGUAGCGGUGAAAUGCGUAGAUAUUAAAAAGAAUACCGGUGGCGAAGGCGACUUACUGGGCUCAUUCUGACGCUGAGGAACGAAAGCGUGGGUAGCAAACAGG
Molecule: ribosomal RNA, 403 nt
Filed under: bacterium
Lineage: Bacteria
Description: partial 16S ribosomal RNA
Rfam family: Bacterial small subunit ribosomal RNA
Source: RNAcentral